CGCGUAGGCGGGCGACCAAGUCAGGGGUGAAAUCUUUCGGCUUAACCGGAAAAUAGCCUCUGAUACUGGUUGUCUUGAGGGAGGUAGGGGUCUGUGGAACUUCUGGUGGAGCGGUGAAAUGCGUAGAUAUCAGAAGGAACGCCGGUGGCGAAAGCGACGGACUGGACCUCAUCUGACGCUGAGGCGCGAAAGCUAGGGGAGCAAAUG
This 207-nucleotide ribosomal RNA is filed under the name uncultured bacterium. Its description in RNAcentral is "partial 16S ribosomal RNA". It matches the Rfam family "Bacterial small subunit ribosomal RNA", at positions 568 to 774 of the family's 1533-position model. The record is from RNAcentral.